AGCUUUGCGCAGUGGCAGUAUCGUAACCAAUGAAGUUCAUCCGAGGUGCGAUUAUUGCUAGUUGAAAACUAUUACCAAUGGACCUUUCCCCGAGCAUUUACUUCCUUGUUUAUUUCGAGACAUUGGCUAAUCAG
Small nuclear RNA from Styela clava, 134 nucleotides. RefSeq annotates it as U4 spliceosomal RNA. Lineage: Eukaryota; Metazoa; Chordata; Ascidiacea; Stolidobranchia; Styelidae. The record is from RefSeq and is a predicted model, not a curated record.